Molecule: ribosomal RNA, 630 nt
Filed under: Triticum aestivum (bread wheat)
Lineage: Eukaryota; Viridiplantae; Streptophyta; Magnoliopsida; Poales; Poaceae
Description: partial small subunit ribosomal RNA
Source: RNAcentral
AUGGAGAUUGACAAUCUAACCCGGGAUUCUAACUUUCUCACGGGGCGUGUGUGUAACAAGGAUGGAUGGGAAUGGUGGCUAUCCAUGGUGUAUGGUCCCCAAGGGGAUGAGUCAAAGAUCAAUUUUUUGAUCGAAUUGCAACAUAGAAGAGAUGCUUGCCCGGGUCCUUGGAUGGUGCUUGGUGACUUUAAUAUGAUCCUGAGGGCUGAGGAGAAGAAUAACUCGAAUCUUAAUAGAUCUAUGAUGAGGAGAUUUAAGGCUUUUAUGGAUAACAAUGAGCUUAAAGAACUCUACAUGCAUGGAAGGAGGUUCACGUGGUCCAAUGAGAGGGAGAACGUGGUGAUGACCAAGAUCGAUCGGGUGUUAGUGUCGGUGGAUUGGGAGCUUUACUAUCCGGAUGUUUUGUUGCAAGCUCUUUCAACUAAUAUUUCUGAUCACGCCCCGUUGCACCUCUCCACGGCGCCGCCUUUCUGCGCUAAGAAGAGUUUUAGGUUUGAGAUGUAUUGGACGCGGCUUGAGGGGUUCGAGCAGGUAGUGAAGGAAGCUUGGGUGUGCACGGAGGAGAUCACCGAUCCUUUCAAAAGAUUGGAUGCAUUGUUAAGGAACACGGCGGUGGCCCUUCAAGCUUAG